Molecule: long non-coding RNA, 663 nt
Organism: Lepus europaeus (European hare)
Lineage: Eukaryota; Metazoa; Chordata; Mammalia; Lagomorpha; Leporidae
Exons: 4
Source: RefSeq, a predicted model, not a curated record
ACCACGGGAGUUGAAAACGUGGCUUCAUCACUCGGAUCUGAGAAGCUUGUGGCAAAUUACCUAAACCUGUGUCUCAGUUCCUCGUCUGUGAAGUGAGCAACGUAACCUACUUGGACCCAAACUGCCAAGUGUUCCAUUGCUUGGUACUGUCUCACAGGGAACAAACACCGGGCGGCAACACUUUUCCUGUCAUUGGCGCCAACACGGAGACAUCCAGGAUCCUAACGCUGAGACGGGCGCAGCCUUGCCGCAAAGCAGCACAACGUCACUGCCACAGGCCCAGCCAGCUGUGAUCUGUCCGACACGGGAGCUACAGUUGGGUUCUGAUGUUGGCGUCUACUGUGAACCAGGACACCACUCCCUCAGCUUUGAUCUGUGGGAACAGAGUCCUUCUUGUCUAAGAAGACUUAGUUCUUGGGGCCAGCGCUGUGGUACAGUGGGUUAAAGCCCCAGCCUGCAGUGCCGGCAUCCCAUAUGGGCACAGGUUGAAGCCCUGGCUGCUCCACUUCUGAUCCAGCUCUCUGCUAUGGCCUGGGCCCCUGAACUUGCAUGGGAGACCUGCAAGAAGUUUCUGGCUCCUGGCUUUGUAUCCACGCAGCUCCGGCCAUUGCAGUCAUUUGGGGAGUGAACCAGUGGAAUGGAAGACCUCUCUCUCUGUCUCCU